RNAcentral lists this unclassified non-coding RNA (163 nucleotides) under uncultured fungus. Its description in RNAcentral is "sequence contains ITS1, 5.8S rRNA gene". Lineage: Eukaryota; Fungi. The record is from RNAcentral.
UAAUAAGUGUUUUAUGGCACUUUUAAAAAAUCCAUAUCCACCUUGUGUGAAAUGUCUGUCGCUUUCUAGCUUUCUUUCUUCGGAAAGAAAAGAGGCGACUCUACAUCAACUCUACUUUAAAUACUUUGUCUGAAAACUAUUAUGAAUAAACUAAUUCAAAAUA